RNAcentral lists this ribosomal RNA (460 nucleotides) under uncultured bacterium. Its description in RNAcentral is "partial 16S ribosomal RNA". It matches the Rfam family "Bacterial small subunit ribosomal RNA", at positions 338 to 795 of the family's 1533-position model. The record is from RNAcentral.
CCUACGGGUGGCAGCAGUGAGGAAUAUUGGUCAAUGGACGCAAGUCUGAACCAGCCAAGCCGCGUGCAGGAAGACGGCUCUAUGAGUUGUAAACUGCUUUUGUACGGGGGUAAACUCAGAUACGAGUAUCUGUAUGAAAGUAGCGUACGAAUAAGGAUCGGCUAACUCCGUGCCAGCAGCCGCGGUAAUACGGAGGAUUCAAGCGUUAUCCGGAUUUAUUGGGUGUAAAGGGCGCGUAGGCGGUCGGGUAAGUUAGUGGUGAAAUCUCGAGGCUCAACCUCGGAAGUGCCUAUGAUACUGGUCGGCUAGAGAGCAGGUGCGGUAGGCGGAAUGUGUGGUGUAGCGGUGAAAUGCUGAGAGAUCAUGAAGAACACCGAUUGCGAAGGCAGCUUACCAAACUGUUACUGACGUUGAGGCACGAAAGCGUGGGGAGCAAACAGGAUUAGAUACCCCAGUAGUC